AGGAGCCAUACUUGCAAGUACGACAAUUGGUUGUGGUUCGAAGAAGCUGCUGCAUGCAUUCAUUUACUUCACAUUCAAACAAGUCCACAAUGAAAAUGUUCGAUCAACCUAACAAGUGGUUCUUGAUUUCUCCAAUUUAUCUUUGUAUCUUUAGUUGAACCACAAAUAAAAUGUUACUGCUACCUGUACUUAACAAAAUUUAUAGGAUUAGAAUGAAGAAAAAUAUAGAGCAAUUCACCACUAAGAUGUAUAGGUCCCACUUUUUCAUCCGUUGGGCCAUAUUGUUUUUGGGGUUCUCUGGCCACAAACACAUUGUUUUUUUUAUCGAAUAAAAAGGUUAUUAUAUAACUUGUAAAUCAUUGUUUUCGAAAUUGUGAAACUAGAUUUUCCCAUCAAAUCACGGGGACCUCUUUCGUUUAUUAUCUUGUUUUGUUUAAGAUGUACUAUAUCUUAUUUCGCUCUU
Molecule: non-coding RNA, 463 nt
Organism: Arachis ipaensis
Lineage: Eukaryota; Viridiplantae; Streptophyta; Magnoliopsida; Fabales; Fabaceae
Source: RefSeq, a predicted model, not a curated record